RNAcentral lists this ribosomal RNA (497 nucleotides) under uncultured bacterium. RNAcentral describes it as "partial 16S ribosomal RNA". It matches the Rfam family "Bacterial small subunit ribosomal RNA", at positions 28 to 507 of the family's 1533-position model. The record is from RNAcentral.
GAUGAACGCUGGCGGCGUGCCUAAUACAUGCAAGUCGAGCGAACAGAUGAGGAGCUUGCUCCUCUGACGUUAGCGGCGGACGGGUGAGUAACACGUGGAUAACCUACCUAUAAGACUGGGAUAACUUCGGGAAACCGGAGCUAAUACCGGAUAAUAUAUUGAACCGCAUGGUUCAAUAGUGAAAGACGGUUUUGCUGUCACUUAUAGAUGGAUCCGCGCCGCAUUAGCUAGUUGUUAAGGUAACGGCUUACCAAGGCAACGAUGCGUAGCCGACCUGAGAGGGUGAUCCGCCACACUGGAACUGAGACACGGUCCAGACUCCUACGGGAGGCAGCAGUAGGGAAUCUUCCGCAAUGGGCGAAAGCUUGACGGAGCAACGCCGCGUGAGUGAUGAAGGUCUUCGGAUCGUAAAACUCUGUUAUUAGGGAAGAACAAAUGUGUAAGUAACUAUGCACGUCUUGACGGUACCUAAUCAGAAAGCCACGGCUAACUACGUG